GAUGAACGCUGGCGGCGUGCCUAAUACAUGCAAGUCGAACGAAACUUCUUUAUCACCGAGUGCUUGCACUCACCGAUAAAGAGUUGAGUGGCGAACGGGUGAGUAACACGUGGGCAACCUGCCCAAAAGAGGGGGAUAACACUUGGAAACAGGUGCUAAUACCGCAUAACCAUAGUUACCGCAUGGUAACUAUGUAAAAGGUGGCUAUACUACCGCUUUUGGAUGGGCCCGCGGCGCAUUAGCUAGUUGGUAGGGUAAAGGCUUACCAAGGCAAUGAUGCGUAGCCGAAUUGAGAGGUUGAUCGGCCACAUUAGGACUGAGACACGGCCCAAACUCCUACGGGAGGCAGCAGUAGGGAAUCUUCCACAAUGGGCGAAAGCCUGAUGGAGCAACGCCGCGUGGGUGAAGAAGGUCUUCGGAUCGUAAAACCCUGUUGUUAGAGAAGAAAGUGCGUGAGAGUAACUGUUCACGUUUCGACGGUAUCUAACCAGAAAGCCACGGCUAACUACGUG
This 512-nucleotide ribosomal RNA is filed under the name uncultured bacterium. RNAcentral's name for it is "partial 16S ribosomal RNA". It matches the Rfam family "Bacterial small subunit ribosomal RNA", at positions 28 to 507 of the family's 1533-position model. The record is from RNAcentral.